UUACAUUUAGUUAAGGAAGUUGAACCUCGAAAAUGCAGUGAAUUGCACGUUCAUUAUUUUAUCAAAAAUUACUUAAAUGCUACGAAAACAUAAAUAAUCAACCUUAUGGCUGAAUAACCGUUAAAAAUGCUCAUCAAAUAAUAUAAAAAAUGGAGUCAAUAGUAAAUGUAAAUUUUAUAAUAUAAGGACUAUGCUGCUACCAAUAUACCACUAUGCCAACGUACAGUUACUAUGCCGAUUAUAUAUUGGCGCUUACUUACAAUGUCCAUAAACGCAACAAAAGUUCUAGUGAUGGAAACGAAACUUCGACAAAUGCUAUGUGCGACACCAAAAAAAUAGUCGUCACCAAACCUACUGCCAAAGCCAGUGAUGAUCGUAGGUUCAACCACCGGCACCUAAAUCCGACAAAGGCAUGGCUGAAGGUAUCAUAACCUUUGCGCUAUGGUACAUUGUUAUCGCUUACAAUUAUUGGAGGGGUUACAUGCCGCCGCCAAGUGAAGGCGCGCCGACGAAUCCGCCGCCUGGGGAGACCCAGCCACCGCCGCCGCCGCCAACAAACCCAGCGUAGCUAAUAAAUUAUAAGAAACACGGAACUCUUGAACACGAGUGACUUUGGAAAGCCGCUUGAAGAAACGCGAUUGUUCUGUAUCGCCACCACGUUGCAGAUUGAGAUCAAAACGUCUCUACGAUUACAAGUACACAUGUGCGAAUGCACGAUUUUUUACUCUGCAGUGUGUUACUGUAAUACAUAACGGAGUAGUCUGCUUUAUAGUAAAAAUUAAUAAGUAAUAAAUAUCUUUAUAAACGUGUCGCUAAACAAGAAGUUACCACAAUUAUUAUCGAAUUGGACAGAAAAAGUUUUAAGUAAUACCAUGAUAGCGAAAAACACGUUGAGCGUUUCUUUUACGCAAAACCCGCCAGCGCGAAACGCACACCGGCUUAAUACGAUUCCGUAUCGAUAAGUAUGGUGUGUCCCUGUGUGGUGUAUCCCUUAGAUAAAAUACACACAAGCUACCCUACUCAGCAAUAUCAAGAAGAACUUGACAAAAUGUUCAUAUUUGACUAGGUUACUUUUGGGUCAUUUUCAAAUUAGUGUCAUCUACCUAAUUUCGGUGGCAAUUUUUAUUAUUUAACCCCCUAAGAUCCCGCGUACAUCAAAACCCAUAAUAUGUGAACUGAUUCUGACCCAGACUAUAUUAUUCCUAUGAUCACGUAAACGCCCAGUAUAUCUUAGCUAUAAUGGAAAAUAUGGCAUUCGGGUUUAGUGCUAUAUAUUCUGUAUUUAGAAAAAAAAAUCGGAAUGUGUUUUUCAUACAAUUCGUACAUAAUUAGUACAUUUGGCGUUUAACGCUUUGCCCAUUGUAGUUUUGUGUGUUAGGAGGUUGGUAUUCCAGAAUAUUAUCAUGAAGUAUUAUUUAAUAUUCGAGUAUAGUAUCUUGAAAUAUUAUUUAAUACUUUACGAUAUUAUACUCGAAUACUUAAAUAAUAAAAAUUUCCACCGAAAGUAGUCUGCCUAUUUUUAGAUUUUUUAUAAAUUAGCACUAACUUGAAAACGACUUUUUUAUAUCUUAAAGUGGUAUUGUAUAAUUGUAGUAUAAUUUUACUUUGCAGGCGACGAAUAAUAAACCUAUAAACACCAUGUCAACAACAUUUAUAAGUAUAAAAACCUCAAACUUCAUAAAAUCAGGAU
This is an RNA transcript of Hyposmocoma kahamanoa, 1690 nucleotides long. RefSeq lists it as uncharacterized. Lineage: Eukaryota; Metazoa; Arthropoda; Insecta; Lepidoptera; Cosmopterigidae. The record is from RefSeq and is a predicted model, not a curated record. The transcript is spliced from 4 exons.